CCGGGCUCGCUUACCGAGAGAGAAGCGCCAACUUCUGCUCCAGCAACAUCUCCAGUUUCUGGCCCUGUUUAGAGAUCCAGUGGUCGACGCCGUGCAGGCGGUAGCAUGUCUCCAGCAUCAACCUGAAGUCCGCCACAAACUCCGUGAUGCCCCUGUACUGGCCGCUGGAGAACUUCUCCUCCAUCUUCAACAGACACAUUCCCUGGCCCGGCUGCUGCGGGGGGACCCGACUGCCCCGGCCCCCGCUGCGCCGCCCUUCGGCCACCUCUUCUUCCCCGGCGGCAACGCCCCCCAAGGGCUGCAGGAAAGGGGCGGUGAGGCCGCGGUGCUUCUCCUGCAGGAACUCGCCCAGGAUGCGGUAGCCCUGCUGCAGCUCGUAGGUCAGCUCCUGCUCCUUGCAGCCACCGCCCGCGACCACCGUCGUCUCCGCCGCCGCCUCUUCCUCCUCGUCGUCCACCGAGGAGGCACUCCUCCUGCGGACCAGCCCCGAGGCCCGGGCCGCUGCUGCCACCACCUCCUCCUCGUUCCCUUCUCCGGUCGGCGGUGGCGGCCG
RNAcentral lists this long non-coding RNA (553 nucleotides) under Rattus norvegicus (Norway rat). RNAcentral's name for it is "long non-coding RNA NONRATT001662". Lineage: Eukaryota; Metazoa; Chordata; Mammalia; Rodentia; Muridae. The record is from RNAcentral.